UACAUAGGGUGCGAGCGUUAAUCGGAAUUACUGGGCGUAAAGCGUGCGCAGGCGGUUUUGUAAGUCAGAUGUGAAAUCCCCGGGCUUAACCUGGGAACUGCGUUUGAAACUACAAGGCUAGAGUGUAGCAGAGGGGGGUGGAAUUCCACGUGUAGCAGUGAAAUGCGUAGAGAUGUGGAGGAACACCGAUGGCGAAGGCAGCCCCCUGGGUUAACACUGACGCUCAGGCACGAAAGCGUGGGGAGCAAACAGG
RNAcentral lists this ribosomal RNA (253 nucleotides) under uncultured bacterium. Its description in RNAcentral is "partial 16S ribosomal RNA". It matches the Rfam family "Bacterial small subunit ribosomal RNA", at positions 524 to 776 of the family's 1533-position model. The record is from RNAcentral.